This 203-nucleotide long non-coding RNA is filed under the name Gossypium raimondii (Peruvian cotton). RNAcentral's name for it is "long non-coding RNA (GRAI_LNC005485)". The record is from RNAcentral. Lineage: Eukaryota; Viridiplantae; Streptophyta; Magnoliopsida; Malvales; Malvaceae.
GGUGAGAGAGUUGAUGGAGUAAGGAGGAGCAAAACCCUAUUUAUAUAAGCAACCGAGGGGAAAUUUCUAAAAAAAAUUAUGCGAGAGCCUACGACCAUCCGAGAUUUCAGGGAUAGGAUGUGCAAAAAUUAUCUCGGGAUUCUCGGGUUCUGAAAUUUUUUCACGGGUUAGGAUUAGGGUUGAAAAUGUGAAGGAAGAAAACA